AGGAAUACAUUAAGGGACUUCUAAUCCCAACAAAGUGACAAUAUCAUUAUAUUCCUC
This 57-nucleotide transfer RNA is filed under the name Armillifer armillatus. RNAcentral's name for it is "tRNA-Ser". The record is from RNAcentral. Lineage: Eukaryota; Metazoa; Arthropoda; Ichthyostraca; Porocephalida; Armilliferidae.